This 1172-nucleotide long non-coding RNA is filed under the name Anser cygnoides (Swan goose). RNAcentral describes it as "lncRNA (ENSACDG00005002927.1)". The record is from RNAcentral. Lineage: Eukaryota; Metazoa; Chordata; Aves; Anseriformes; Anatidae.
AGCACAUCACCUCGCCACCUCUGGGUCCACAGGGUCCCCAUGGGGAAGCGGCGCAGCCCGUCGGUGCUGUGGUGGAGGCAGCUCCUGUGCACUGGGUGCUGGUGGCUCCUGUCGCUCUCCAGGACGGCUCUCGAGGGGCUGCGGCGGCUCUGGAGGCUGGCGUGGGUCGGUACCAUGGGGCUCCUUCCCUAAGGGCUUUCCAUGCAUGUGUGGGCUCCAAACACACCGUGGGGCCAGGGCACAAGGUGGGGGCCCAUCCUGUGGGAUGAUAGCACCCGUUUGUUUUGGGGGGCUGUGGUUUUGGUGCUGCUGAGGUCACUGCCCUAUUCAGCCACAUCACUGCGGGACUCAGACCCUGGUCCCUGAGGCAGGAGGUGCCAGUUCUCAGCCCUGUAUGGUUUAUAGCCCUGGGGAUGUGGGGCCUUUGCUCCCUGCUCCAGGAUCUGCCCUGCCAGAGGUGGGUUCGAACCCACUGUCCUCUCCCUCCAGUACCUGCUGAUCUGCUACAAGAGCUGCUGGGACUUUGCCUUCCAGUUCACCGAGGAGCUCAGCUCGGUGCUGCUGCUGAGGCUGGAAAACAGCGGCGAGGGGAGCGAGGAGGAGGAGGAGGUGGACAGGGCCUCUGCUGCUGCGCUGGAGCCCAGGGAGGCAGGGCAGUGGUGGAGCUGCAGCGGCUGCGUGAGGCCAGCGAGGCCGCGCUGGGCAGGCUGGAGGCGCUGGAGGCCGACGUCCGCUUCCUCUGCACCGAGCUGGGUGCCGAGAAACUGCUGUGGAGCAGCCGGUUCCUGGAGCUGCUGCGGGAGCAGCAAGGCCUACGGCAGCGGGUGAGUGCCCCCCGGGGAGGGUCCCCUGGUCCCUGGGCACCCCCAGCCACUCGUGCCCUGUCCCAGCUGCAAGAGCGCCCACUGCAAUGGGACAGCCCCGAGCUGCCCGGAGACGUGGAGGAGCCAAACGCCAGCGGGAGCGAGGGAGAGGGCCCAGCAGGUAUGAGUGGGGACUCCGGGUCAUGGAGACAGUGCUUGGGGCAGAACAAGGCCCCCACAAUGUGGCUGCCACCCCAAGGCAUCCUCAGUGCCUGUUUGCUGCUCCUGGCCCCUGCGCUGGUGGCUGGGCACCGCUGGGAGCCUGGCUCGGUGCUCCCACAGCGCCAGCUCACCCUUGUGCUCUGUUAA